This 497-nucleotide ribosomal RNA is filed under the name uncultured bacterium. Its description in RNAcentral is "partial 16S ribosomal RNA". It matches the Rfam family "Bacterial small subunit ribosomal RNA", at positions 28 to 507 of the family's 1533-position model. The record is from RNAcentral.
GAUGAACGCUGGCGGCGUGCCUAAUACAUGCAAGUCGAGCGAACAGAUGAGGAGCUUGCUCCUCUGACGUUAGCGGCGGACGGGUGAGUAACACGUGGAUAACCUACCUAUAAGACUGGGAUAACUUCGGGAAACCGGAGCUAAUACCGGAUAAUAUAUUGAACCGCAUGGUUCAAUAGUGAAAGACGGUUUUGCAGUCACUUAUAGAUGGAUCCGCGCCGCAUUAGCUAGUUGGUAAGGUAACGGCUUACCAAGGCAACGAUGCGUAGCCGACCUGAGAGGGUGAUCGGCCACACUGGAACUGAGACCCGGUCCAGACUCCUACGGGAGGCAGCAGUAGGGAAUCUUCCGCACUGGGCGAAAGCCUGACGGAGCAACGCCGCGUGAGUGAUGAAGGUCUUCGGAUCGUAAAACUCUGUUAUUAGGGAAGAACAAAUGUGUAAGUCACUAUGCACGUCUUGACGGUACCUAAUCAGAAAGCCACGGCUAACUACGUG